Molecule: ribosomal RNA, 325 nt
Filed under: uncultured eukaryote
Lineage: Eukaryota
Description: partial 18S ribosomal RNA
Rfam family: Eukaryotic small subunit ribosomal RNA
Source: RNAcentral
CCCUUAGAUGUUCUGGGCUGCACGCGCGCUACACUGAAGCGUUCAACGAGUAUUCACCUUGCCCGGGAGGGUUGGGUAAUCUUUUGAAAACGCUUCGUGAUGGGGAUAGAUUAUUGCAAUUAUUAAUCUUCAACGAGGAAUUCCUAGUAAGCGCGAGUCAUCAGCUCGUGCUGAUUACGUCCCUGCCCUUUGUACACACCGCCCGCCGCUCCUACCGAUUGAGUGAUCCGGUGAAUAAUUCGGACUGCAGCACUGCUUGGUCUCCAGGCUUUGCAGCGGAAAGUUUAGUGAACCUUAUCACUUAGAGGAAGGAGAAGUCGUANCA